GCUUAACACAUGCAAGUCGAACGAUGAAGUCCGCUUCGGUGGUGGAUUAGUGGCGAACGGGUGAGUAACACGUGGGCAACCUGCCCUCAGCUCUGGGAUAACUCCGGGAAACCGGGGCUAAUACUGGAUAUGACUACUGGCCGCAUGGUCUGGUGGUGGAAAGUUUUUCGGCUGAGGAUGGGCCCGCGGCCUAUCAGCUUGUUGGUGGGGUGAUGGCCUACCCAAGGCGUCGACGGGUAGCCGGCCCUGAGAGGGCGACCGGCCACACUGGGACUGAGACACGGCCCAGACUCCUACGGGAGGCAGCAGUGGGGAAUAUUGCGCAAUGGGCGGAAGCCUGACGCAGCGACGCCGCGUGAGGGAUGACGGCCUUCGGGUUGUAAACCUCUUUCAGCGCAGACGAAGCGAGAGUGACGGUAUGCGCAGAAGAAGCACCGGCCAACUACGUG
RNAcentral lists this ribosomal RNA (449 nucleotides) under uncultured bacterium. RNAcentral's name for it is "bacterial SSU rRNA". It matches the Rfam family "Bacterial small subunit ribosomal RNA", at positions 46 to 507 of the family's 1533-position model. The record is from RNAcentral.